CCUGGAAUUGAAAUGGGGUUUUUCUGUUUAUCUUUUGAUGCAUGAAUAUUUUACUACAUAUAGUUAUUUGGAUUUUUUGUUGUGGACUGUAACUUAUAGCUGAAUUUGGAAUUUUGAGAGUUUUUUGUUUGUUUGUGUUUUUGGGUAUCCUGAUGUGUGUGAACAUUUACUAUUUCUCUUUUUGGAGAAACGGAUUUUCGCUUGACAUUGG
This 211-nucleotide long non-coding RNA is filed under the name Solanum tuberosum (potato). RNAcentral describes it as "long non-coding RNA (STUB_LNC006766)". Lineage: Eukaryota; Viridiplantae; Streptophyta; Magnoliopsida; Solanales; Solanaceae. The record is from RNAcentral.